UCUGAUUAUUUCCUGGCUGGCAACUACAGUAAAAUCUCACACCUCAAUUUUUCCAGAUCUUGGAAGUACAUUCAUCAAUGUCUACUGCAGUUUUUAUCUGACAGAGAAGAAAAUCAAGCAUUAAAACAGUACAUCAAGUUGGAUUUGAAAAAAACAGAAAGUUACUUUACAGUCCAAAUGACAACUACAUAAUUUAAUGAUAAGAGGUUUUUGUAACACCACAUUUUAUUUUUGCUGGACAGUUUUAAAGAUGAAAAGCUGUCAGAAAAUUAUGCCAUCAGAAUUCCUGUAAACAAGCUCCUGCUUCACCUCUGCCAUGAGCAAAAGCUUCAUGCGUCCUCCCCAGAAGCCAAGCGGAUGCCGG
This is a long non-coding RNA of Gorilla gorilla gorilla (western lowland gorilla), 364 nucleotides long. RefSeq lists it as uncharacterized. NCBI's taxonomy places the organism in Eukaryota, Metazoa, Chordata, Mammalia, Primates, Hominidae. The transcript is spliced from 3 exons. The record is from RefSeq and is a predicted model, not a curated record.